UUACGGCCAUAUCACGUUGAAACAGCGCUUCCCGUACGAUCGGCAAAGUCAAGCAACAUCGUUCCUGUUUAGUACCUAUAUCGGGGACCGCCUUGAAAUACCAGGUGAUGUAAU
This is a non-coding RNA of Acanthosepion pharaonis, 114 nucleotides long. NCBI's taxonomy places the organism in Eukaryota, Metazoa, Mollusca, Cephalopoda, Sepiida, Sepiidae. The record is from the annotation of a GenBank genome assembly.